AUGUAUUUGAGCCUCUCCCCGUCUUUCUUGGGCCUGUGGAUGCAAUUCUCGCCGCACCAGACUCCCCUGUCUCCUCGCCGCCCUCUAGCCUUCCUACACUUCUGCGUUGAGCCUCGGACCAAGACCUCUGCCCUGGCUCCGCUAGCUCUGCGGGGCCUGCACUCACCAGGCCCGAAAGUCACCAGGCCUGGAAAGGUAUCUUCACAGGGAUUCCGCAAAGCCAGAUCCCAAUCCUCCUUGGAGGCCACCAGCCCUCCCCCCCCCAUCUUCCUCGUCCUCCUCUUUCCUUUCUGCUUCCCUCCGCUUCUAUGUAUUUCUUUCUCAUUCGUUUCUUUUCGUUUGAUGAGGUGCCACCCACUGCAGCCCUGUCCCCUAGGGAGGCCUGGACUAACUUUGCCACCUUCAUGGCCUUAGCCCGGACUCUGAGUCUCGAGGGGCUUCUGGGAGGCGGCAGCAGGGCAGCUCGGGUGUCUUCACAGAGACGGGUGAGGGAGGCUGGCAAUUCCCUGGCCUCAGAUGGCUCUGCCACCGGCUGGUUGUGUGAUCCUGGGUAAGUCUUUCCACCUCUCUAAGCCUUGACGGUGGUAAAAGGCAGGAGAUUUAGAGGUGUUGGGAGACUAAACCUUUUCAUUCGUUUGAGAAAGGGAGUCGCCUGUGUUGAGGCCUAAGGAGGAAGUGAGGUUCUCGAGAAUUCUAGAUCUGAAAUGGCCAUUUGUUUUAACGAAUAUUUUGGGAGCAGCUGAUAGCUGCUUUUUAUUUUUCUUUUUUACAGCCGAUGGGGUGCCAGGUGUUAGAACCCUUCCCUCCAAUCCUCACCAUGUCUCCAAUUUGCCAAAGAAGAAACUGAGGUUAAGGUCGCGAUGCCCUGGCCAGCACCAAAUGUGGGAUUUGAACGCAGAUCGCGUUUGGAGCGGCUCUAGUGUUUAGGCCACACAGUAUGACAUUUGACUGGUGAAUCGAGCCCUCGCAGGGCCUGGAGUGACCUAAGCCGAGAGGAGUUGGGCUGAAUCUCCAGGUGUUCCUUUCUUUCUGCCCUACGAAAGCUUUGGAAUUCUUAUUUUCAGGUAAACGAUUUUGGCAGUGCCCGGAGAAGGAUAGAAGUAAGACUCAAGGAGGAACUUCCUGCAUGCUACGAGAGACCCCUUGGGGCGAGGAGGCGCGGGCAGCCUUCCCCCGGCCAAGAGAGCAGCCAUCGAUCUUGGAUCUGUUUUUCCUCAAGAGUCUGUCCUGUGGGGCCCGGGGCCCAGUCCCCAGCCGCAAUCGGAGAAGGGGCUCGGGGAGGAGGGCGCACCCCCCGACCCGGGACCGACGGCAGCCCUAGCCAGUCCCCGCUCUCUCCCUCUCCAGGGGCCUCUCUGUGAGGUCGGGUCCUCCUAGCUGCAGUGCAUGGAGGGCUGGCUGUAGGGCAGCAGAGUGGAAGCCAGGGCCUGGGACGUUCUGGUUGGGCAAGGAGGGGCUGGAGUCCGGCUCCCAGUGACCCAGUCCCUAGUCUCAGCCGUGGGGUCGUACGUGGCGGCCCAGACAGGCCACGGGUCUCUCGCCACAAGUCCCAUUACGUUGCAUUUAUGUUUCACUUUAUUGUUUUUUUCCUCCUCCCUUAUUAUUGUCUCACUCUGGGGGAGGCAAAGGAUAUAAUAUAUUCAUCUUUAUUAUACCAAAUCUGUGUGAAGCAUUUAAUAAAACGCUGUUUCCACACAGCCAGGG
Molecule: long non-coding RNA, 1704 nt
Organism: Aotus nancymaae (Ma's night monkey)
Lineage: Eukaryota; Metazoa; Chordata; Mammalia; Primates; Aotidae
Source: Ensembl